Molecule: long non-coding RNA, 7575 nt
Filed under: Solanum tuberosum (potato)
Lineage: Eukaryota; Viridiplantae; Streptophyta; Magnoliopsida; Solanales; Solanaceae
Description: long non-coding RNA (STUB_LNC004710)
Source: RNAcentral
GUACAUCCACACACCCAUUCCCACAACACACCACCCCUUAUCUACAUAUACCACCCAUUCACAGAAAGAAAAAGAAAAAAAUCAGCAACCCAAAAAUCCCACAAACCAAAGCAAACUACUCCAAAAACAACACCAGCAACACAAAGAAAAUGAAGAAGAAAAAACCCAGAAAGAUUACCAAAAAAUACACGCACCCAUCUGCAUAAAAAAGAAAAAAGAAAAAUCCCCCUCCCAUUAUAUAUUUUUUUCACUCACAAACAAAGGUUGAGUUUGAAGUUUACUUUCGUGGUUUCGAGUUCGUGGUUCCCUAUUAGGAUUGCUUUCUUUUAGUAAAUUGAUUGUCGCAAGAGGUACCAUUUAACAUUUAUUUUAUAAUUUGAUUUUCAUGAUUAUAUAAUACUUGAUUAUAAUGUUAUGAAGUUGCUCAAAUUUAGAUGUGUUAAUUUUGACACAAUAAUAUUGAAAUAUUUCCUAUUUAAGCUAUUGUACAUUUUAUUUUUUUUGUAUCAUAUGUUGUUAUCAAUUAAGUACCUCUUGUGUCCAAUCCAAAAUCAAUUAAAUGUCUAAAAGAAUUAUUCUAAUAGUUUGGUUUAAGACUAAUAAAAAUUCAACAAUUAAAAAAUAAACAAAUUUUGGCAUAUAGACACAAAUUAUUCAAAAACAUAUUAAAAUAAGUAUAAGUCAAUAAAAGCGACCGUGCUAGAACCACGGGACUCGAGGGAUGCUUAAUACCUUCCCCUCGGUCAACAUAAUUUCUUACCCGAAUUUCUAGUUCGUAGACAAAAACUAAAAGAGUCAUUUCCUAUUGAUUAGGGAUUCGAAAAGGUGACUUGGAACAGCACAACUCAAUUCCAAGUGGCGACUUUGAAAAAAUUAAAACAAUCCCUAUUCAAUACCGUCACUUAAAUUGGAAAAAUCCUUCGGCCGUGCGCGAAAAGGGGUGUGACAUCUCUGGCGACUCCGCUGGGGACUAAUCAGAAUUCGAGCUUUGUUAUAUUGACUUUUACUUGAUUUUAUUAUUUUAUUUAUUGGAUAUAUUGUGUUUGAUGGCUAAUUUGCUACUUGCUACUCAUUUAUUGCUUUUUAUAUUUAUAUUGUUGAACUAUACUAAAUUAUUUUCUCUUACGCACACCUUAUGAGUCUUUCAAUACACAUAACACACGUUCACAGGAAUGCAGUUAUGCAUCAUAUUUUCCCUUGAGAUAAAGCUGGAGUGUCUUGACACCUAGUGAAGGAUAUUUAGUUGUCUAUGUUAGGCGGGAUUGGACCAUCAAUGAAGUCGAAAUAGCGCUGCUACCGAUAAGUUGCCCCUCGCUGGCUCGAGUUGUCUACUCGGGUAAGCCAGUCUAGAUACUUAUCUUAUUCAGGUUUGAACUUAGUAAAACUAAAACAUAGACAUGGUUAUCUCUAGAAGACUUCGAUUAUUUGUAUCAUUUUCAUGUGACUUAGUGAGCCUCAAAAUAAGAGUUGGGUCCGUCCAGGACAAGUAUCCCUCUCUUACUUGACCACUUAGCUCAUUUUAUGUGCUACAUGAAAAUACAUUUAUUUGAAAGUCUCUAUAAGUUGACGCAUUUUAGUAUGACUAAUGCAAUGAAUUUUUUUUUAUCUAUUGAUCUUAUUUAAAAAAAAAAAAGAGGAGAAAACACGAAAAUAUUUUUUCUUUUAGAAGUUAUUAUACAUUUCUUAAAAUAAAAUAAAAUUUUUGCAUUACUUAAUGAAAAGAAUAAUAAUAUUUUUAUUUAGAGUUUUUUCAUAAAGUUUGUAAAAAGAAAAUUCAAAAUAUUUUACUUUUAUAAUACUUUGAAAAGUUACAUUUGUCAAAAUCAAAAAAAUAAAUAAAUUAAUAUCUUAAAAGUUUUUUUUUACUGUCCAAUCUGGACGAACUACGCACACCUGAUUCUCACCUCAAUGAGAUACGUAGGCAACCCUCUUUGGGUUCGGUGAUCUUUAUUCAAAAAUAAAAGAAAAAUAAAAUCUUUUUUCAAAAGUUAAAAAAAAAAUGAAAAACAAGAAGCUUUAAUCUUUAUCAAAAAAAAGUUUUUAUUAAUUUUCUUUGAAUAAUUCAAAUAAAAAAAACUGAAGAAUUUUAUCUCAAAGCUCUAAAAAAGAAAACCUUAGUUAUUGAGUUUUUGAAAAAAUAUGCAAAGAUUUUAGUCAUGUUCGCAAGCGUGUUACAUACGCAAUCUCAAAUGAAUUUGAUCAAUGCAUUAUUAAAUCAUUUUUUUAAAAAAACUUAUAACUAAAGAAGGUCUAACCCUAACAAAUAUUAUUAUCUAUGCAUAGUUAAAUUAAGGUGGUUGAUUUGUGGUUAAGCUGGCAUCACAUCCUUAUAAUACAAGGUCAAAAGGGAAAAGAAAAUGACUCACAAAGACGGAAAUGAGUCGGACAAUGAUGAGGUCCAGAACCAGAUGAUGUCACAAGAAACAGUGUCAGCCGAAGAGAUAAGGAUACUAAGACAGCAAAUGACGGAGAUGUACGAAGCUUGGAUGAGUGAACAAGUUCCACCGCCUUCAAUCCGUGACUAUCUAAAUACAAAUAUGUCACCCCCUGUCCAAGUAUCGAUAAGUGAUCCAAUUUAUCCACUUGGAUUUGGUCCCGCAUCCAACGUAGCUGGAACUUCUACGGUGCGCCCUUUGAGUACGCCUAUGACAAGUAAUCCACUAUUUAUUCCAAUUGCGCCGACUAAUGUCGCUCAACAACCUAUAAUGGAGCCAAAAUCCAACAACGAUCCUCUACCCAAAGUUCAAUAUGAUCGAGAUUAUACUCCUGAAUUGACUUUUAAAAAUUCCAAGCUCUUACCCCCACACUCAUCAGUAUAGUUUCCCAUGUUGAGGCUGAAAAAGCUGUUAAGAACGAUGAACAUGAAGAAAUGGCUAGAAAAAUGAAGAGUUUGAAACAGAGUGUAAGAGAUAUGCAAGGAUUGGGAGGUCACAAAAGUAUUUCAUUCAAUGAUUUGUGCAUGUUUUCCCACGUUCAUCUACCCAUCGGUUUUAAAACUCCAAAGUUUGAAAAAUAUGAUGGACAUGGAGAUCCUGUAGCUCAUUUAAAGAGAUAUUAUAAUCAACUGAGAGGGGCUGGAAGCAAAGAAGAAUUGCUCAUGGCUUAUUUUGGGGAAAGUUUGAUGGGAAUCGCCUCAGAAUGGUCCAUAGAUCAAGAUACUUCUAACUGGCAUACAUGGGAUGAUUUGGCUCGAUGCUUUGUUCAACAAUUUCAAUAUAACAUUGACAUAGUUCCUGAUCGUACUUCACUUGUCAACAUGAGGAAGAAGACCACCGAAAAUUUUCGUGAAUAUGCUAUUAGGUGGAGGGAGUAAGCUGCUAGGGUUAAGCUGUCAAUGAAAGAGUCUGAAAUUAUUGAUGUUUUCCUUCAAGCGCAGGAACCAGAUUACUUUCAUUAUUUACUUUCCGUUGUUGGAAAAACAUUCGCUGAAGUUAUUAAGAUUGGUGAAAUGGUGGAAAAUGGCAUCAAAGUCUAGAAAAAUUGUAAGUCAAGCUGCCUUGAAAGCUACAACACAAGUGAUUAAAAAUGGAUCAGGAAAUCUUAGGGGAAAGAAAUAAGGGAUGAUGUAGUAAAUGUUGUGUCAGACACACAAAAAGGGUCCAAGGGGUUCAGUUUAUCAAUAUGCACCACCUCAAUUUCAUCACUAUCUCCCCCAUGCAAGAUACACAAUACUCUAUUGUCCCACCUCAAUAUGCAGUCUAUGGUGCACAACCAUAUGCAUACCCACCAAACUAUCCUCAACGGAGAGCACAAACAAAUCAAAAUGUUCGUCCUUCUCCUCAAAAUUUUCGAGCACCUUAUAAUCCCCAUCCAAGACAGGGAUUUGAGGGAGGUCAAAUACCUAUGAACAAUUUCACACCAAUUGGAGAGUCUUACACAAGUGUAUUUGAGAAAUUGAAACGUUUGAAUAUGAUAGAGCCAAUUCCUCAAAAUUACGUGGAUCCACAUGCAAAAGGUUUCAAUCCUACAAUACGGUGUGCAUACCAUUCGGAUGCUCCAAGGCACAAUACUGAAGAUUGUCGAAAUUUAAGAAGAAAGGUGGAAGAGAUGAUUCAAACAAAGAUGAUUGUGGUUCAAAAUAAUGACCCCCCAAAUGUUACUAAGAAUCCUCUACCGGCGCAUAAAUGAUGUACACUUCAUCGAAAUGAUAUGUGAUGACAAAGAAUAUGACAAUUCUCUCAAUUCUCAGGAAAAGACAAUUGAAAUUGUUGGAGCUUUCACGAAGGCUAGCGUGCAAAGUAGUGGCUAAGAAGUCAAGCUUGGUGAUUGGGAUACACUUUUUUUUUCUCUAAAAAAGAGUGUAUGGAUAGUUUAUUUUGUCAUCAUUUCUGCUAUGCAAUUCUUUUUAUUUUUAUUUUAGUAAGUCAGACCUUUCUAUCAUUUCUCUUAUGUGUUUGUUUGUUGAGUCUUGUCGUAGUUUGGGUUAUUAUAGAGUUGUAACCUAAAAUUUAGUUUGUUGUCUUGUCAUCAAGUAAUUUUUUAUCUUAAUAUAAUCUUUAUUNNNNNNNNNNNNNNNNNNNNNNNNNNNNNNNNNNNNNNNNNNNNNNNNNNNNNNNNNNNNNNNNNNNNNNNNNNNNNNNNNNNNNNNNNNNNNNNNNNNNNNNNNNNNNNNNNNNNNNNNNNNNNNNNNNNNNNNNNNNNNNNNNNNNNNNNNNNNNNNNNNNNNNNNNNNNNNNNNNNNNNNNNNNNNNNNNNNNCCCUUUUGAGCCUUAAUUUUAUUUUCUUUCAUACCCCUCUUUUGGAAUCAAAAUAUAGUCAAAAAGAAAAAAAAAAAAGAGUCACAAAUUCAAAAAAAUGGAAAAAAGAGUCACAACUUCAAGAAAAAAAAAAUAUAAAAUAUAUAGAAGUCACAAAAAAGAGUCAAGGAAAAAAAAAGUGAAAAAAAGGGUUGAAAAAAUCAAUAACAACAAAAGAACAAACUUCCUGAACUACGUUCGACUUGAUUCUUGCUUUGACAAGAUACGUAGGCAGCCUUAUUCUGAGGUUCGGUCCAACCAAGUAAAAUCUCUAAGAUCAUCAUCACAAAAACUGGGGCAAUUAUUAUUAUUAUUAUUAUUUUGAUUUUGUUUAUUUGUUUAUUUAGAGUCGAUUCCAAAAGUCGUAAGUCUUAACUGUCUUAUAAGUAUUAUAUCUGAGCUUUCACCGUUUCUUUGUAACCCUGUCCAAAAGCCACGUUACAAUCCAAAUAAAUACCUUCUGAUCAUUUUUUAACAAUGACAAGUCAGGCAAGCUUUCAGUGUUGAUUAUCAUAUGAGGAAAAAUGUCACGUCCCUCGCAUAAGGAGCGAAAAAUGAGGGAAUUUUAUCGAUGAAAAUUCUCGAAAGCACUAUAAGACAUCAUUUGUGUUGAGAGAAAGUGAAAAAUGAGAGAGUCUUAUUGGUGAAAACCCUUAAGACACUAUAAGACGAUGUGAGUGAGAGACAUACAAAAUGAGAGAGGUUAUUGGUGGAAAACCUUUCGAGGCACCACAAGUCGAAUGUGAAGUAUGAAUCUAGUGCAAAAGUUGGAUUAUAAAAGUCUGACUUCAGAAGGUUCAAAGUUUGACAAAGAUAAAGUUUAGAUUUAUUGGACAAAUCAAGCCAUUUAAUCUCGCAUGCAUGUCAUGAUCAUUAGAAUUGACCAUCACUCUCAAAGGAGUUUCUUUUUAUUUUCUAUUUUUUUUCUUCUUAAAGGUCAAUUUUUAUUUUUUACUUUCCUUCUUCUUAUUUUGUAUCGCAAAAUUUGGUUUCAUUUUUUCCCUUGGAUUAGUCUUUAUUAAAGCAAGCAGAAAAUGAUUUCAAAAUUACUACCAUAUUUUCAAUUGUACAAAGCAAAGUUUGGUCAGCACCUCAAAUGUGACAUGAUUCAAAAAAUAUUGAUAUGCAUAGUAACUUGCCAAUAAUUGACAAAUUUUGAGAAUUUAUAUGAAUACAAGAUUCAAUGAUUGUUGGAGGGUGGAAACAAUAUAACAAGUAUGAAGUUGGAACUUUUGAACAACUAGAGAUAUUUUCAAGAUUAUCAAGGUGAGCUGACUAGCAAACUAAAGCAGUUUAUCUCAAAGCUAAAAUUAGCUUCAAACAUGGCAACAAUAGGAGAAGCUAUCCUCAAAGUCAAAUGCCACAAACCGACUGCCAUUUAAAAAUAAAAUAAAAUAAAAAAAAUGAAAGACUCAAAUUUGUGAACAUUAUUGCAAAAAUAAAAUAAAAAAUUACAUGCAUUUUUUCUCUUAGGAAAAACAUUUCCUAGAUUGAGACAUUUAUUUCUGAUUUUCUCCUAGGAUAAACACUUUCUUGUCCUAGACCGUUAUUAGUAUUAUUAUUUUUUUAUUUUAUUUUCUGUAUCCUAGAAUAAACACUUUCUAGUUUGAGGCAGUUAUUUUUCAUUUUUUCUUUUAGGAUAAACAUUUUCUAAUCUAAAAAAUUAAAAAAUGUUAUGGUAAUUGUAUUUGAUGAUUCAGUUUAGCAUGACCCUCCUAAACAAUGGGAAUUAGCAUAGCAGGACCCUCCUAAACAAUGAGAAUUAGCGUAAUAGGACCCUCCUAACCAAUGAGAAUUAGCGUAGCAGGACCCUCAUAAACAAUGGGAAGUAGCGUAGCAGGAUCCUCCUAAACAAUGGAAAUUAGAGUAGCAGGACCCUUCUAAACAAUGAGAACUAGAGUAGCAGGACCCUCCUAAACAAUGGAAAUUAGUGUAGCAGGACAGUAGCAGGACCCUCCUAAACAAUGAGAAUUAGAGUAGCAGGACCCUCCUAAACAAUGAGAAUUAGAGUAGCAGGACCCUCCUAAACAAUGAGAAUUAGAGUAGCAGGACCCUCCUAAACAAUGAGAAUUAGAGUAGCAGGACCCUCCUAAACAAUGAGAAUUAGAGUAGCAGGACCCUCCUAAACAAUGAGAAUUAGAGUAGCAGGACCCUCCUAAACAAUGAGAAUUAGAGUAGCAGGACCCUCCUAAACAAUGGGAAUUAGUGUAGCAGGACCCUCCUAUACAAUGGGAAUUAAAGUAGCAGGACCUUCCUAAACAAUGGAAAUUAGAGUAGCAGGACCCUCCUAAACAAUGAGAACUAGAGUAGCAGGACCCUCCUAAACAAUGGGAACUAGAGUAGCAGGACCCUCCUAAACAAUGGGAACUAGAGUAGCAGGACCCUCCUAAACAAUGGGAACUAGAGUAGCAGGACCCUCCUAAACAAUGGGAACUAGAGUAGCAGGACCCUCCUAAACAAUGGGAACUAGAGUAGCAGGACCCUCCUAAACAAUGGGAACUAGAGUAGCAGGACCCUCCUAAACAAUGGGAAUAGUGUAGUAUGACCUUCCUAAGCAAUGAGAUUUAGAUUAGCAGGACCCUCCUGGACAAUGGGAUUAGUAGGACCAUCCUACAUAAUGGGAUUUGGUUAUUUUCUCCUAUGAUAAGCACUUCCUAGUCUGAUUUUAUUUUUAUUUUUAAAUUAUUUGCUAAUAACUCACAAAAUUUUUCCAGUGAAAACUGGGGCAAAUUUUUUUGUGUAUUUCUUUUGUUUGUCUUUCAGGUUUCUUCGAGCGAAACAUGAAUUUGAAAUUCAGGAAUAAAGUUUCAACUCUUUUCAGAAUGAUCAAUCCCAUGAU